AUGCCUAACGUUGCAGAAGCAGAAGGGGCAGAUGAUUCUGGAAAUGGUGAGCACAAAUCCGAGAGAAGGUCUCCUGAAGAGAGCCUGCAAGGUGCCGUUCAAUCUUUCUGCACCCGUGCCUCCGGAGAACCCCUGGGUCCCAGAGGAGAUGGUCAUUAUCCGUGGAGCUGUCCAGUGACCCACACUCGGGAGAAGAUUUACGCCAUCUGCUCAGACUAUGCCUUUCUCAACCAGGCCACCUCAAUCUAUAAAACUCCAAAUCCAGCCCGUUCUUGCCUCUCUGAUAGUACCUCUUUAUCUGCGGCAAAUAAUUCCUCAAGGUACAUUGGCAUCUCAGCCAGUACGUCGGACAUCAUCUACAAUGAAGAAAACAGCUUGGAGAACUUAUCCAACAGCCUGGGCAAGCUACCUCUCGCAUGGGAAAUUGAUAAAUCUGAAUUUGAUGGAGUGACCACGAAUUUGAAACACAAAUCAGGCAAUGGAAAGAAGCAAGUUUCUAAGAAAAAAACUUCAGAUAAGAAAGGAAGACAUCAAAGGGAGUGGCCUCAGUAUUCUCCUCUUGAAGAUAUUAAGCAGCGGAAAGUAUUAGACCUCAGACGAUGGUACUGCAUAAGCCGACCGCAAUAUAAGACUUCUUGUGGCAUCUCCUCAUUAGUUUCUUGUUGGAAUUUCUUGUAUAGCACAAUGGGAGCUGGAAAUCUUCCACCCAUCACCCAGGAAGAAGCUUUACAUAUUUUGGGCUUUCAGCCUCCAUUUGAAGAUAUUAGGUUCGGCCCCUUCACUGGAAAUACGACACUUAUGAGGUGGUUUAGACAAAUUAACGACCACUUCCGUGUAAAAGGAUGCUCAUAUGUUCUAUAUAAGCCUCAUGGGAAGAAUAAAACAGCUGGAGAAACUGCAUCUGGGGCCUUGUCGAAGUUAACUCAUGGAUUGAAAGAUGAAUCGUUAGCUUAUAUCUAUCAUUGCCAAAAUCAUUAUUUUUGUCCAAUUGGCUUUGAAGCAACCCCUGUCAAGGCGAAUAAAGCAUAUAGCAGGGGUCCCCUCACACCACAGGAAGUAGAAUAUUGGAUCUUAAUUGGAGAAUCAAGUAGAAAACAUCCUGCUAUUCACUGUAAAAAAUGGGCAGACAUUGUCACUGAUCUAAACACUCAAAAUCCAGAAUAUCUAGAUAUCCGGCACUUAGAGAGGGGGCUGCAGUACCGAAAGACAAAGAAGGUUGGAGGAAACUUGCAUUGCAUCAUAGCAUUCCAGAGACUUAGCUGGCAAAGAUUUGGCCUUUGGAACUUUCCGUUUGGAACUAUUAGACAGGAAUCACAGCCUCCAAUGCAUGCCCAUGGAAUUGCCAAAUCUGAGAGUGAGGACAAUAUCUCCAAGAAGCAGCACGGGCGCCUGGGCCGGUCUUUUAGUACUGGUUUCCAUCAGGACUCAACAUGGAAAAAGAUGUCCAGUAUCCACGAGAGAAGGAACAGUGGCUACCAUGGUUACAGUGAUUACGAGGGGAAUGACUGACCAUGCUGGGUCCCUACGCUGGGGGUCACACACACAGCUGGUCGAUGCAGGACUGCGUUAAGGCAGUACAAGAUUUUAAGUCUAUGUUAAAUAGGAACAGAUCUUGUGGGGCAAAACAUAACCUUGUAGUUCCUCCAGUAAAUAAGCUUGUAUAUGAAUAGGAUGGGUGAUUUCAGACAUAUAAACAGAUAAGCACAGACUUUUUUUUUGUCCUUUUAAAAUUAAGAGUAUAUAAACAUUCUGGACAGUUUUGCAAAGUCCAAUAAAAUUACAUAUAAACAAA
RNAcentral lists this unclassified non-coding RNA (1792 nucleotides) under Bos taurus (domestic cattle). Its description in RNAcentral is "serine/threonine kinase 24". The record is from RNAcentral. Lineage: Eukaryota; Metazoa; Chordata; Mammalia; Artiodactyla; Bovidae.